GAAAUGCGAUAAGUAAUGUGAAUUGCAGAAUUCAGUGAAUCAUCGAAUCUUUGAACGCAUAUUGCACCCUCUGGUAUUCCGGGGGGUACACCUGUUCGAGCGCCAUUUCGACCCUCAAGUAUAACUUGGUGUUGGGUGAAGUCCUUAUGGGGACCCACCCCUAACUUAUAGGCGGUCAUCGCCCGCUUUUCCCCCAGCGUAGCAGGCUUACACGCACUCGCUUGGGGACAGGCGAUUUGACUUGCUCAAAAAACCCUUUUCAAAAGGUUUGGCCUCGAAUCAGGUGGGGAUACCCGCUGAACUUAA
This 306-nucleotide unclassified non-coding RNA is filed under the name uncultured fungus. Its description in RNAcentral is "sequence contains ITS1". The stretch from base 1 to 105 matches the Rfam family "5.8S ribosomal RNA", at positions 50 to 154 of the family's 154-position model. The record is from RNAcentral. Lineage: Eukaryota; Fungi.